GGGUGGUUGACGAAAAAAAAAUGGAACAUUGGGUGGAGUCGUGGAGACCACGUAAUUUACUUUGUGAGGUUGUGUACUUAAUUGCUUUGUACUCACGUGAUGCGUUGUUAAGGGGCCUUGUAUAAGUUUAUACUAUAUUUCAAGUGCAUUUGGAUUAAUCUUAUAAAAAUGCAACCGUAGUAUAUGCUACGGUAUGCUGAUAUUAAAAACAUACGCUAGUUUUUGAAACCGUCCCCAGUUUGAUGUUUCAUACCCAACAUGCGCAUCACCGUUCACAAAAACACAAUUAUGCUGAUAUGCUCCAUGCCUCCACCUUCACUUUAAUUAGUUUAUUAUUGACGAUACAAACUUUUUUUAAAAUUACUUAUAAAUACAGAUUAC
RNAcentral lists this long non-coding RNA (381 nucleotides) under Brassica napus (rape). RNAcentral's name for it is "long non-coding RNA (BNAP_LNC016905)". The record is from RNAcentral. Lineage: Eukaryota; Viridiplantae; Streptophyta; Magnoliopsida; Brassicales; Brassicaceae.